UACGGGGGGGGCAAGCGUUGUUCGGAAUUACUGGGCGUAAAGGGCCAGUAGGCGGCCAACUAAGUCCGACGUGAAAUCCCAAGGCUUAACCUUGGAACUGCGUCGGAUACUGGAUGGCUUGAAUUCGGGAGAGGGAUGCAGAAUUCCAGGUGUAGCGGUGAAAUGCGUAGAUAUCUGGAGGAAUACCGGUGGCGAAGGCGGCAUCCUGGACCGACAUUGACACUGAACGGUGAAAGCUAGGGGAGCAAACGGG
RNAcentral lists this ribosomal RNA (253 nucleotides) under uncultured bacterium. RNAcentral's name for it is "partial 16S ribosomal RNA". It matches the Rfam family "Bacterial small subunit ribosomal RNA", at positions 524 to 776 of the family's 1533-position model. The record is from RNAcentral.